This 468-nucleotide ribosomal RNA is filed under the name uncultured bacterium. RNAcentral describes it as "partial 16S ribosomal RNA". It matches the Rfam family "Bacterial small subunit ribosomal RNA", at positions 28 to 507 of the family's 1533-position model. The record is from RNAcentral.
GACGAACGCUGGCGGCGUGCUUAACACAUGCAAGUCGAACGGAAAGGCCCUGCUUUUGUGGGGUGCUCGAGUGGCGAACGGGUGAGUAACACGUGAGUAACCUGCCCUUGACUUUGGGAUAACUUCAGGAAACUGGGGCUAAUACCGGAUAGGAGCUCCUGCUGCAUGGUGGGGGGUGGAAAGUUUCGGCGGUUGGGGAUGGAUGCGCGGCUUAUCAGCUUGUUGGUGGGGGAGUGGCUUACCAAGGCUUUGACGGGUAGCCGGCCUGAGAGGGUGACCGGCCACAUUGGGACUGAGAUACGGACCAGACUCCUACGGGAGGCAGCAGUGGGGAAUAUUGCACAAUGGGCGGAAGCCUGAUGCAGCAACGCCGCGUGCGGGAUGACGGCCUUCGGGUUGUAAACCGCUUUCGCCUGUGACGAAGCGUGAGUGACGGUAAUGGGUAAAGAAGCACCGGCUAACUACGUG